Molecule: long non-coding RNA, 571 nt
Organism: Asparagus officinalis (garden asparagus)
Lineage: Eukaryota; Viridiplantae; Streptophyta; Magnoliopsida; Asparagales; Asparagaceae
Exons: 2
Source: RefSeq, a predicted model, not a curated record
UGCUUGUAGAUUCUUAUAACAUUAUGGAAAGGGUGUGUUUGGAGCUUGUCAAGCCUUAGUUUGUAGAAACCUUAAUGAGUAUUUUGGAUUUUUUAUGGGAUUGUCAAAUUUUCAUGGGUUUAUAUAUGUACUCAUACAUUAGGUAGUGCGAAGACUUAGCACGACUCUAACGUCAUAAGCUUGGAUUUACAUCUACAUCAUCAAAAAUUACUUUUAGGUAUAUUCUUGUGAAAGUAUUUGAUUGAGAUUGAGAUUGGUUUAUUAAUUUGAGUGCCUCUGAUUAUCCGCUUGUGACCCAGGAUGGUAAGUUUUGAUUGGUUUAUUGGGGUUUUUUGGAUUUGGGUUUGUUUAUUUAGGUUUUGUGAUGUUUGAUUGUAAAUAUGUUGCUCAUGUUCUCGUAUUUUCCGAGGGAUCUGGACUUUAUUGAUCAUACUAGCAACAUGGGAUGGAAAGAGUUUCAGAGGGCAAAGCUGGUGACAAUUGAUCUAGGGCUAUACAUUUCGAAGAAGCAGGAUAUGUUCUGGAUUACUCAGCGGAGGAGUGUGCCCACUGCCUUUAAACUCUUUACAGG